RNAcentral lists this ribosomal RNA (1215 nucleotides) under metagenome. RNAcentral's name for it is "bacterial LSU rRNA". It matches the Rfam family "Bacterial large subunit ribosomal RNA", at positions 1697 to 2925 of the family's 2925-position model. The record is from RNAcentral.
UUGAGUUGUUAAGGAACUAGGCAAAUUAACCCCGUAACUUCGGGAGAAGGGGUGCCCAUGCAAAUGGGCCGCAGUGAAUAGCGUCAGGCGACUGUUUAACAAAAACACAGGUCUCUGCUAAGUCGAAAACGAUGUAUAGGGGCUGACGCCUGCCCGGUGCCGGAAGGUUAAAGGGAGUGGUUAGCGCAAGCGAAGCUACGAACUGAAGCCCCGGUGAACGGCGGCCGUAACGAUAACGGUCCUAAGGUAGAAAAUUCCUUGUCGGGUAAGUUCCGACCUGCACGAAUGGCGUAACGAUCUGACGACUGUCUCAACAACUCGCCCGGCGAAUUUGUGGUUCCGGUGAAGACGCCGGAUGCCCGCCACAAGACGGAAAGACCCCGUGCACCUUUACUAUACCCUAUCAGUGAAUUAUGGGUUGGACUGCGCAGGAUAGGUGGGAGGCUUUGAGAUCGGGUUUUUGGACUCGAUGGAGCCAACGGUGAGAUACCACCCUGUGUAAUCUGUGAUUCUAACCUGCUUCCAUGAUCUGGAAGGGGGACACUGGUAGGCGGGUAGUUUGACUGGGGCGGUCGCCUCCUAAAUUGUGACGGAGGCGCUCGAAGCUGCGUUCAGGUGGUUUGGAAAUCCACCGACGAGUGCAAAGGCAUAAACGCGGUUAACUGCGAGACCUACAAGUCAAGCAGGUGGGAAACCAGGACUUAGUGAUCCGGUGGUUCUGUAUGGAAGGGCCAUCGCUCAACGGAUAAAAGGUACGCCGGGGAUAACAGGCUGAUCGGAGUCAAGAGUUCACAUCGACGCUCCGGUUUGGCACCUCGAUGUCGGUUCAUCGCAUCCCGGGGGUGUAGAAGCUCCCAAGGGUUAGGCUGUUCGCCUAUUAAAGCGGUACGUGAACUGGGUUCAGAACGUCGCGAGACAGUUCGGUCCCUAUCUGUGGUGGGCGCAGGAAAUUUGAGGGGGCUUGGCCUUAGUACGAGAGGACCGGGCUGAACGAACCUCUUGUGAUACAGUUGUCACUCCAGUGGCACAGCUGUGUAGCGAAGUUCGGUUAGGAUAAGCGCUGAAUGCAUAUAAGUGCGAAACCUUCCCCAAGAUGAGAUUUCCCAACCGUAAGGUAAUAAGGGCCGUGGAAGACUACCACGUUGAUAGGACGGGUGUGUAAGAGUAGUAAUACUUUGAGCUAACCGUUACUAAUAGCCCGUUCGGCUUGGCCAA